Molecule: non-coding RNA, 71 nt
Organism: Cordylochernes scorpioides
Lineage: Eukaryota; Metazoa; Arthropoda; Arachnida; Pseudoscorpiones; Chernetidae
Source: the annotation of a GenBank genome assembly
UACAUCGGCCGUGAAUCGAACCCUGGCCGCCCGCGUGGCAGGCGAGCAUUCUACCACUGAACCACCGAUGC